ACACGUGGGCAACCUGCCUGUAAGUUGGGGAUAACUCCGGGAAACCGGGGCUAAUACCGAAUGAUAAGAUGUGGCGCAUGCCACGCCUUUGAAAGAUGGUUUCGGCUAUCGCUUACAGAUGGGCCCGCGGUGCAUUAGCUAGUUGGUAGGGUAAUGGCCUACCAAGGCAACGAUGCAUAGCCGACCUGAGAGGGUGAUCGGCCACACUGGGACUGANACACGGCCCANACUCCUACGGGAGGCAGCAGUAGGGAAUCUUCCGCAAUGGACGAAAGUCUGACGGAGCAACGCCGCGUGUAUGAAGAANGUUUNCGGAUCGUAAAGUACUGUUGUUA
Molecule: ribosomal RNA, 335 nt
Filed under: Listeria monocytogenes
Lineage: Bacteria; Bacillati; Bacillota; Bacilli; Caryophanales; Listeriaceae
Description: bacterial SSU rRNA
Rfam family: Bacterial small subunit ribosomal RNA
Source: RNAcentral